UUAUCACAUUUAAUUAUCAUUUGAUAAGACUAUUUUUCUCACAGUUCUCUAUUUCCCUUCUUAUAUCUGUACCAAACCUGUGACAUGACUUCACUCACCAACAUUUUUCUCAUCUUCUGCUUAAUUCUAAUGUCAACCAAGGUGGUUUCCAAAGACCUAACCACAAAUACACGGCAGACAAAUUCAUGUAGGAUAAACAUACAC
Molecule: long non-coding RNA, 204 nt
Organism: Octopus sinensis (East Asian common octopus)
Lineage: Eukaryota; Metazoa; Mollusca; Cephalopoda; Octopoda; Octopodidae
Exons: 3
Source: RefSeq, a predicted model, not a curated record